AACGCACAUUGCGCCCUCUGGUAUUCCGGAGGGCACACCUGUUCGAGCGUCAUUACACAAAUCAAGCCCUGCUUGGUGUUGGGUGAGGCCCUUUGGGGCCCGCCUCAAACCCCUCGGCGUCGCCGUCCGUCUUCGAGCGCAGCGAGAUAACUUUCCAGCGUUUUCGAGAUGGGCCACGUCCGCCGCAGAACACACCUUUUUUUCUAUCAAGGUUGACCUCGGAUCAGGUGGGGAUACCCGCUGAACUUAA
This 250-nucleotide unclassified non-coding RNA is filed under the name uncultured fungus. RNAcentral's name for it is "partial contains 5.8S ribosomal RNA, internal transcribed spacer 2, and large subunit ribosomal RNA". RNAcentral also lists the same sequence under 1 other name. Lineage: Eukaryota; Fungi. The record is from RNAcentral.